CGGGGUGCAGCAGGCGCGAAAACUUUACAAUGCUGGAAACAGCGAUAAGGGGACCUCGAGUGCCAGGUUACAAAUCUGGCUGUCGUGAUGCCUAAAAAGCAUUGCAUAGCAAGGGCCGGGCAAGACCGGUGCCAGCCGCCGCGGUAACACCGGCGGCUCGAGUGGUAACCGUUAUUAUUGGGUCUAAAGGGUCUGUAGCCGGCCGGAUAAGUCUCUUGGGAAAUCCAGCAGCUCAACUGUUGGGCUUUCAGGAGAUACUGUCUGGCUCGAGGCCGGGAGAGGUGAGAGGUACUUCAGGGGUAGGGGUGAAAUCUUGUAAUCCUUGAAGGACCACCAGUGGCGAAGGCGUCUCACCAGAACGGACCUGACGGCAAGGGACGAAAGCUAGGGGCACGAACCGGAUUAGAUACCCGGGUAGUCCUAGCCGUAAACGAUACUCGCUAGGUGUCGGCCACGGUGCGACCGUUGUCGGUGCCGUAGGGAAGCCGUGAAGCGAGCCACCUGGGAAGUACGGCCGCAAGGCUGAAACUUAAAGGAAUUGGCGGGGGAGCACAAG
RNAcentral lists this ribosomal RNA (556 nucleotides) under uncultured archaeon. RNAcentral's name for it is "bacterial SSU rRNA". It matches the Rfam family "Archaeal small subunit ribosomal RNA", at positions 326 to 882 of the family's 1478-position model. The record is from RNAcentral.